CGGUAAUACGUAGGGUGCAAGCACUAAUCGGAAUUACUGGAUGUAAGGCGUGCGCAAAUGGUGAUGUAAGACAGGUGUGAAGUCCCUGGGCUUAACCUGGGAACUGCAUUUGUAGGUGCAUCGCUGGAGUGCGGCAGAGGGGAAUGGAAUUCCGCGUGUAGCAGUGAAAUGCGUAGAUAUGCGGAGGAACACCGAUGGCGAAGGCAAUCCCCUGGGUCUGCACUGACGCUCAUGCACGAAAGCGUGGGGAGCAAACAGGAUUAGAUACCCCGGUAGUCCACGCCCUAAGCGAUGUCAACUGGUUGUUGGGUCUUCACUGACUCAGUAACGAAGCUAACGCGUGAAGUUGACCGCCUGGGGAGUACGGCCGCAAGGUUGAA
This 380-nucleotide ribosomal RNA is filed under the name uncultured bacterium. Its description in RNAcentral is "bacterial SSU rRNA". It matches the Rfam family "Bacterial small subunit ribosomal RNA", at positions 518 to 898 of the family's 1533-position model. The record is from RNAcentral.